Long non-coding RNA from Cercocebus atys (sooty mangabey), 2111 nucleotides. RefSeq lists it as uncharacterized. Lineage: Eukaryota; Metazoa; Chordata; Mammalia; Primates; Cercopithecidae. The transcript has 2 exons. The record is from RefSeq and is a predicted model, not a curated record.
ACAGCAAAGCUGGGUCAGUGGGGGCCAGGGCCCCUCCCCUGGAAAUCCCCCCUUCCCUGAGUCAGACUUCACCCGCUGGCUGGGCCCGGAGGGAGUCCUGGGGGAAAGGGAUGACACCUGGAAGGGAAGGGAAGGCCCACCAGGGUCACCUGGACUCGUCCUGGCUAAAGUGAAACUGAGACAAACCUUGAAAGAGAAACCAAGACACACUCAAAAGAGAAACCGAGACACACCUGGAAGUCACUGAAAGGGAUGCACCGGGUUCAGCAGGCACCGACCAGCACAGUCAAGCAGGCUGUUACAAGUGGUGUAACAGCUACAGGAUGAAGCCCGGAAGCUUCCGUACACCAGGCAGCUCCUGCCAGAAGAGAAAUGUCCGGAAGGCCGGGCUAGAAGGCUUCUGGAAAAAUGUGCUCUGGGAGCCAGAACUGGGCUCAAGAUCACAGCUGCAGGGCUGCCAAGAAGCCAACCUAACCCAUCUCCAGGCCACACGUGUGUGGGGUGGUGGACGUAGGUAUGUGAGUAUAAAAUUCAAUAAAACUGCUUUACCCAGAGCACUGACCAAGGGCCAGCCAGGUGAGCUUGGUCAAUUUGCUGUUUGUUCUCCUCUCCACCUCCCAUGCCUUCCCCCGGCCCCUUGCUCACCCUUGGAGAUAUUGCAAAAGCCCCAGGGCCAGUCUCUGCCUCCAAUGUUCACCAUUUAAUCCCUCCUCCAUGGUGUCCAGAUACGGCCAAGAGCGAGGUUAGAGGUCAGUUCCUGCAGACUGCCGCGGUAUAGGGGAGGGGAGGGGAUCUAGCCCCACAGCCUGAAGCUUCUCAUUCUGGCUCUGCCACUACCUGCCUGCUUAGCACUUUCUGGGCCUCAGCUUCCCCAUCUGCAAAACGAGCAGGUCAGACCAAGUGACCUCUCAGGCCCUUUCCAGCCAGACGCUCUGGGAUGGGAACAGAUUUCCUUUCUCCCUCCCCCCUGGAGGGGGUGUGGUUCAGGCCUAAGUGACUCAGGACAGGCCCUAUCUCUUAGCACAGCACACGGGUCCUGCCCUGGGGGCUCCUGCUGUGCUCCUCAGGUUUCACCUCCCACCCUUUUAGAGCACAGGGGAGUGUGGGGCCUGGGCCCUGGGGAGCUGAGGAUCUGACCUGCCCUGCUUUGGAAAAGGACAGAAAACGUCUGGAGGACCCUCCCUUCACUGGGGACAUGCAUGAGCAGGUCAGCCGGCCCCCAGCAUCCUCACCAUAGGGUGCCCCUGCCUGUCCUGCACCCUGACCCUCAAGUCUGCCCGCAAGGGAGCCUGCCUGGAGGGUGUGGGAGGUCAAACCACUGCCCUCACUGCCUGGCCCAUGAGGAGGCCUGGGGCCUGUCCCCACCUUGCCCCGCUUUAGGGGCCCCGUGAUCAUAUGGACCACCCACCCACUGUCAUGUCCUCAGCAGCCAGGGUCACUAACUAAGGUCACCAGCAAGUGGCGGGCAUGGCCACAGUACACAGGGCCCUCAGGGACAGCUGCUGGCCAGAGGGGGUGGGGACUAAAGGGCUCCGAUUUUCCAAUGGACUCCUGGGAGCUGCAAGAGACGGGGGUGCCACAUUCUGCUGGCAUCUCCCAGGGAUCAAGCCACCCAGGAGCUCUUGCAAACCAGGCGCCAGGGAUGCCCUCCUGCCCUUCUGGCACUCCUGAGCAGGUCUUAAGGAAAGGUGGCUGACCUUGACACAGGCCAGGCUGCCUACAGCAGCUGCGAAUCCUGCCCUUAGGACGCAACAUACACCAGGCGCAGAUUGUAUUUAGGGGUCAAGUGGGGCUACAGGCCCAGGGGGGCGCUGCAACCUCCCCCUCCUCGGGUCUCCCAUGCAAAAUGUGAGCAGACUCUGCGUGACUGGGGUUUUGCUGGGAUUAAACCAGACAAAGAACCUAAAAGCCCUUUGUAAAGGAUAAAGUACUAGAUAAAAAUAGCAGAUCUUUAUCAGCCGAGCCUUUCCUUUUUAGGGCUGCCUCUGUGGACAGCUGUUGAGGUUGCACUGUGGCCAGACUUUUGCUUCUGCAUUCUGGAAAACCAAAGAAGCUAGCUUGUGAGAUUGCUAACAACCGGAAAGACAGAAAAGGAAAAAAAAAAAAAAAAA